Molecule: ribosomal RNA, 250 nt
Filed under: uncultured bacterium
Lineage: Bacteria
Description: partial 16S ribosomal RNA
Rfam family: Bacterial small subunit ribosomal RNA
Source: RNAcentral
UACGAAGGGGGCUAGCGUUGUUCGGAUUUACUGGGCGUAAAGCGCACGUAGGCGGCUUGUUAAGUGAGGGGUGAAAUCCUGGAGCUCAGCUCCAGAACUGCCUUUCAUACUGGCAAGCUAGAGUCCGGAAGAGGUGAGUGGAACUCCUAGUGUAGAGGUGGAAUUCGUAGAUAUUAGGAAGAACACCAGUGGCGAAGGCGGCUCACUGGUCCGGUACUGACGCUGAGGUGCGAAAGCGUGGGGAGCAAAC